GAGGGUAGGCCCCUCGAAAUCACUAUACAGGUAGGGAUUUCAAAUCACCUUAAGGUGCUAUUGUCAAAAGCAAUGGUAUUGAGCAUUAAGGAAAAGGCAAGACAAAAGAUUUUGUCAGA
Molecule: non-coding RNA, 119 nt
Filed under: Fonticella tunisiensis
Lineage: Bacteria; Bacillati; Bacillota; Clostridia; Eubacteriales; Clostridiaceae
Source: RNAcentral